AUCAUCAAUCAUGUGAGAAGAUUGAAGUUUAGAGGAGGAGCAACGCUCCGGCCAUCGAUUCCAAUGAAGCCCCCCUUCUUCUUUUUUUUCUUUCUUUCUUUUUUUACUUUUAGCCACAAAACAGAAGCAGGCCAUCUAUCCCUUUUAAUAUUUAGCUCCAUCAGUGCUAACAUGCCUUCGUGGCCGUAUUGAUAGGUCCAACGCAUAAAGGCUCCAUUUGGAGCUCGGUGACAUUUUUUGAUGGUGAAAAUUAAUUAUUCACAGGUUAGGAUUAAGCGCUCAGGGAGAUGGGCUGUGGCUACUGUUGGAGGGUCAACAACUCUCCCAGCAAACAAAAAUACUCAGCCAGUGCUGCAUAUGGAGGGCCGAUUAUACAGACAGCGGAGUUGAGCAACAAAGGAAAAUGAUUUAAUAAAUGAAACCGUGACAACAGUUAUGUUUGUUGGCAUAAAGUGAGGAGGGGUGGGGGAGGAAGAUGGGAUGUGCAGGACUGCAGGCUUUGACAAACGGCUGUAUGUGUGGACAUUUCGACGCGCAAUACCCCGGGAAGGAGCUGCAGAGUUGCGCGCAGAGGGAGCCAGGGCGCUCACCGUCUCCAGGUCUCUGUGUGCGCUCUGUAAACACAGCCGGUCCGGCGCGCCGUGCCGCUUGAAGACUCUGAUUCUCAUAACCUAAAUACCGCCGGUCUCAUUGAGUUCUGUGCUAACGAUUGCAUCUCUUAUUUUUAUUUUAUUUUUUUCAACCACUAUCUCUUUGGAUGACCCAUGGUCCUUCCACGCUUGCAUUGUCGGCUGGUUUCCUCCAAGGAGAUCGCCGGGAAGUCAGCCUGAACGCAGCUGCAUUCACGUGGAGCGACGCGUUUUGAUAUUCAGGAGUUCACACGUCCGAGCGAGGCUACCCAGGUAAUUACCUGGCAUUGUCAAAUAAAGCGACCACUGAUUCAAAUUAGGAGUGAAAUAUCAAAGAGCAGCGUUGCCUCUGCAGCCAGCACUUAUCCACACAGGAGACACAAGAGGAGAUCUGAGAGCUCUGGGGACCUGCAGGGAGGCGGCAACAAAAACACUCUGCCUUCUCCUUCCUAGAUAAAUAUCACCAAUGAAAGCAACAGAACCCAACAUGCCCAGGUUCACCAGGAACAGUGUUAUUUGUUUGUGUUACGUAUCCCACUUAUCCAUUAUUAGCUUUUAAAGUGAAGAGGGAUUUCGUGAUAUUCCUCAACAUUCCUCAUGUGUGUCCCUCAAAGGUCAAAGGCUGAUAUAUGUGGAUAUGAUCACACUCCAGCAGGGGGGUCAGGACACGUUCUCGCUCUUCCAUUACGGCAUUUCUUCCGUGUUUCUGCAUCAGAUACAAAGAGAGAACUAAAGAGAAGUCAACCACCGGGAUUAGAAGUGAGUAGCGCAUUAAGGUUUGGCAGCAGAAAUGAGCUGCACAACCACACUCAUUCAUAACGUGCAAUGUUUGUCUUUGAUUUUCCUCCCACUUAAAUCUACAAUCAGCUUCCCAAACCAGCCUGAAUCCUCCUGUUUUUUUGUUUUUUUUUUCCUUCUGCUGCGUCGUACGGCAUAAUUUAAUACCGUGUGUAAUUUCUUCAUCUUGAUUUCGGUGCUCACCGACAACAGGACCUUUGACACUUUGACACAGCAAGUGGAGGGUGAUCUCGAUGAACAAUGUCACUGCACUUGGAAGGGGGGAAAACAAAGGAAAAGAUUAUUUCUGAUCCCCCUUCAUGUUCAAACUAGACAAGGUGCAUCCAGGGAUUUCACCUCAGCACAAAAUAAGGGGGACGUGUAAUUUGACUUGCCACAUCUCGAUGGAACCUGAACGGGUUACAUUCUGCAACAACAAAUAAAAUGCUUUCCAUGCUUUAGUACGUGUUUUUCGUGGUUGGAGGCGAAACGGGUUUGCAGACGAUAUUUUAGUGUUUAAUGCUGUAAACACACAGUUUUCCCUCCCUCUGGCAUAUGGAUGGCUCCCAGGGACACUUUACAUGUAAAUAUUCAUAGAGAGAUGGGAUGGGCUAUUAAUUAUUAAGCACAGUAAAAAAAUUUAAAAAAGUGUAAUACUUCAAUAUUACACACAUAUGAAUCCUAAUUUUUUAUUUGCUGCAUAUGUUCAGCUGAGAGGAGUCAUAUUU
Xiphophorus maculatus (southern platyfish) is the source of this 2134-nucleotide long non-coding RNA. RefSeq lists it as uncharacterized. The record is from RefSeq and is a predicted model, not a curated record. Lineage: Eukaryota; Metazoa; Chordata; Actinopteri; Cyprinodontiformes; Poeciliidae. The transcript has 3 exons.